UGUCUUUUUCCGCUUACUGGCG
Molecule: non-coding RNA, 22 nt
Organism: Drosophila melanogaster (fruit fly)
Lineage: Eukaryota; Metazoa; Arthropoda; Insecta; Diptera; Drosophilidae
Source: Ensembl